AACGAACGCUGGCGGCAUGCCUAACACAUGCAAGUCGAACGAGACCUUCGGGUCUAGUGGCGCUCGGGUGCGUAACGCGUGGGAACCUGCCCUUAGGUUCGGAAUAACUCCCCGAAAGGGGUGCUAAUACCGGAUAAUGUCUUCGGACCAAAGAUUUAUCGCCUUUGGAUGGGCCCGCGUUGGAUUAGCUAGUUGGUAGGGUAAAAGCCUACCAAGGCGACGAUCCAUAGCUGGUCUGAGAGGAUGAUCAGCCACACUGGGACUGAGACACGGCCCAGACUCCUACGGGAGGCAGCAGUGGGGAAUAUGGGACAAUGGGCGAAAGCCUGAUCCAGCAAGGCCGCGUGAGUGAUGAAGGCCUUAGGGUGGUAAAGCUCUUUUACCCGGGAUGAUAAUGACAGGACCGGGAGAAUAAGCUCCGGCUAACUCCGU
This 432-nucleotide ribosomal RNA is filed under the name uncultured bacterium. RNAcentral's name for it is "partial 16S ribosomal RNA". It matches the Rfam family "Bacterial small subunit ribosomal RNA", at positions 29 to 506 of the family's 1533-position model. The record is from RNAcentral.